Molecule: ribosomal RNA, 468 nt
Filed under: uncultured bacterium
Lineage: Bacteria
Description: partial 16S ribosomal RNA
Rfam family: Bacterial small subunit ribosomal RNA
Source: RNAcentral
GACGAACGCUGGCGGCGUGCUUAACACAUGCAAGUCGAACGGAAAGGCCCUGCUUUUGUGGGGUUCUCGAUUGGCGAGCGGGGGAGUGACACGUGUGUAACCUGCACUUGACUUUGGGAUAACAUCACGAAACUGGGGAUAUUACCGGAUAUGAGCUCCUGCUGCGUGGGGGUGGUAGGAAAGUGUCGGCGGUUGGGGAUGGACUGGAGGCUUAUCAGCUGGAUGGGGGGGUAGGUGCUGACCAGGGCUGUGAAGGGUAGGCGGCCUGGGAGGGUGACCGGGCACAUUGGGACUGAGGGAGGGACCAGACUGCUACGGGAGGCAGUAGUGGGGAACAUGGCGGAGUGGGCGGAAGCGAGAUGCAGAAACCCCGCGUGCGGGAUACCCUCUUUCGGGUUGUAAACCGAUGUCGACUGAGACGAAGCGUGCGUGACGGUAACGGGUAAGGAAGCACCGGCUAACUACGUG